RNAcentral lists this ribosomal RNA (319 nucleotides) under uncultured eukaryote. RNAcentral's name for it is "partial 18S ribosomal RNA". It matches the Rfam family "Eukaryotic small subunit ribosomal RNA", at positions 1470 to 1796 of the family's 1831-position model. The record is from RNAcentral.
CCCCUAGAUGUUCUGGGCAGCACGCGCGCUACAAUGGUCUUCGCAAACGGAUGCAUUCUCGAAGGAGAAUGCCGAUCUUGGAAUCUAUGCCUUGGUCGGGACAGUUGCUUGCAAUUUUUCGACUCGAACCAGGAAUUCCUUGUAAUCGUGAUUCAUCACAUCACGAUGAAUACGUCCCUGCCCUUUGUACACACCGCCCGUCGCUCCUACCGAUCGAAGAGUUAGGUGAAUUGUUUUGAUCGAUAAGAUUUGACUAUGGUCAACUCUCGUUGUGAAAUUCUGUGAAUCUGACUGUUUAGAGGAAGGAAAAGUCGUAACA